This 140-nucleotide ribosomal RNA is filed under the name Raddia brasiliensis. Lineage: Eukaryota; Viridiplantae; Streptophyta; Magnoliopsida; Poales; Poaceae. The record is from RNAcentral.
AUUCUGGUGUCCUAGGCGUAGAGGAACCACACCAAUCCAUCCCGAAUUUGGUGGUUAAACUCUACUGCGGCGACGAUACUGUAGGGGAGGUCCUGCGGCAAAAUAGCUCGAUGCCAGAAUGAUAAAAAGCUUAACACCUC